Molecule: ribosomal RNA, 253 nt
Filed under: uncultured bacterium
Lineage: Bacteria
Description: partial 16S ribosomal RNA
Rfam family: Bacterial small subunit ribosomal RNA
Source: RNAcentral
UACGUAGGGUGCGAGCGUUGUCCGGAAUUAUUGGGCGUAAAGGGCUCGUAGGCGGUUUGUCGCGUCGGGAGUGAAAACCUACAGCUUAACUGUGGGCUUGCUUUCGAUACGGGCAGACUAGAGGUAUGCAGGGGAGAACGGAAUUCCUGGUGUAGCGGUGGAAUGCGCAGAUAUCAGGAAGAACACCGGUGGCGAAGGCGGCUCUCUGGGCCUUACCUGACGCUGAGGAGCGAAAGCGUGGGUAGCGAACAGG